Non-coding RNA from Macaca mulatta (Rhesus monkey), 2327 nucleotides. NCBI's taxonomy places the organism in Eukaryota, Metazoa, Chordata, Mammalia, Primates, Cercopithecidae. The record is from RefSeq and is a predicted model, not a curated record.
AUGACAGCAAGACUCUAUCUCAAAAAACAAACAAACAAAACCAAAACAGUAUCUCAUGUUUCUUAUUGGCUGUGACCAAGUAACUUCAUUGCUUUCAACCUUGAUCUGCUCACCUGUAAAACUGAGACCUUAUUAUUUGUUGUGAGAUUUAAAAGAGAAACAUGUUCAUUUCCUUCCUCUUUGGGGCUCAGAAGGAAUCCGAUGGGCGUCUUGCAGCUCCGAGCCUGAUGAAGAAUUGUAGCUGCUGUGCCUCAAGACAGAUAAGCUCAGGUCGUCCCAGUGGGGAUGCCACCUUGGGGACUGUGAACCUCCGCUGAGGCCAGGCCAUGCCGUGUGUCUGUAUCCCGAACUGCGGGAUUUCUCUGAUCCGCCAGGGAAAGGCCUGCCACCUCGUGGCCGCUUCAGGAACUGCUCCAAAGGCAGUCUGCUCUUGGGAACCUACCUGCUUAGGUAGCUCGCUGAGGUCUGGAACCGCAGCACACUGCAAGUUAUCUUCACGUGGAGGUGAAGCUGCCUGUAUGGAAGACUCUUGGAUCAGUCGUCUGAGCACAUGUCCAGCAAUGGGCAUGAGUGGCCUAGCCAGGGACUUGGGGUGCCGGAAGAGCCGACUGUACAGCACGUGGUGCCCCUAGCAAGGAUUGGGUGGUGUUUAAAAAGAAAAAAAGGUCGUGCAGAUGGUCUGACAGCCUGUCGACCGUGGGCGUGGUGCUUAUAGCAGCUGAGCACUGCCGGGGUACCAGGCUGUGUGCUGGGUGCUUCAAAGAUGUCCUCUUGUGGAUCAGCCCAUCUGUGGCGAGGAGGGGACCGGGCUCAGCCAGGUUAGAUGUGACUUGCACAAGGUCAUGUGGGUGAAAGGAAGGCAGAACUCUUGUGUAUUUCUCCUGACUGAUCCCAGAUUUUGCGUCAGGACUGAAGACAGAACCCACAUGUGUCCAGCACCGGGUGAUUGCUGCCAUGAGCUGCAUCGCUGUGAUCCCUCGGUGAGGGCAUGGAUUUUCAUCCUUGUAUUCAACUUUGAAAGAAGCAAAUUUAGAAAGAUAUGAAUAUGAUGGGCGUGGCAGACAGAAUUUUAAAGGUGGGCCCACUGACUCGUACCCCUGGCUGUUCAGUUAAACACUAGCCUAGAUGCUGCUGUGCAGGGACUUUGACGAAGGAAUGAAAGUCCCAAGCCAUCUGACUUUGAGAUCAGAGAUGAUCUGGUGGGCUUGACCUCCUGAGCUUAAUGAAAGCAGGGAGCUUUUCCAGCUGUCAGCAGAGAGGAAGGUGUGAGAAAGUCUGGAAUUAACAUUGCUGGUUUGAAGGAGGAAGGGGUUGUGUGAGAAGGUGUGUGGGUGACUUAUAGGAGCAGGGAGUGGCCCCCAGCCAUGGAAUGAGGACCCCAGGCCUGCAGCCACCAGGAGCUGGACUUUCGGGGCCACCUGAAUGCACCUGGAAGCGGAUUCUCCCCCAGAGCCUCCAGAAGAAGCCGAGGCUCCCAGGUUAAGAGACUUGCCUGGAAAAGCGUUAACUGACAGCUUGGCAGCAGAGCCACCGCUCCUUCCCCCUCGCGUGCUGGUUCCAAACCGAAAAUGAUGUUCUGGGAAGAGGAGAUUAGGACAGACACACACAGAGGGAAGACCCUGUGAGGACGGAGGCCAAGGAGCGAGGCCUCAGAAGGAACCAGCCCUGCCGGCACGCUGACCUUGGACCCCCAGCCUCCAGAAGCCUCCGGCCACUGGCCCUUGUUCUACCCGAUCCCACCUGAAUGGAGGGCGUCAUGCCAGGGUCCUCAACAAGCAUGAGUCACGGCCUGCACAGCCACCCCGGACCCCACCGCGGGAAGCUGUCAGAGGCUGCGGAUCAGAGGAGGAGGGAGAAUUUUGAGCAGGAGAUGGGGCUCACCAGGCUUCCUUCCGGGCUGUGGGAGAAUCCAUCGAGCUGGCAAGCCGAGCUCCAGGGUCAUCAUAGUGGCCGAAUCACUUCUGAGAGGAGCAGAUUGCAAAACUGAAACACAUGCAUUGAAAAAACUGGACCCAACACAGGGCAGGCAAGCCCCAAAGUGGAGCCUGGCCUGCGAGUGUUCCUGGCUUGGCUCAGGAAAUACUUCAAGGACAGCCAGAGGUGGUAGAAAACAGCUUUACUGAAGUGGCAGUGUUACAGCUCCGUGACUGCUCCCGCAGAGCGGGGCUACCCAUGGGCAGUGUUACAGCUCCGUGACUGCUCCCGCAGAGCAGGGCUACCCGUGGGCAGAGAGUAGCAGCCAUAUUUAUACCUACUUUUUUUUUUUUUUUUCAGCCUGGUGUCACCCAGGCUGGAGUGCGGUGGCGCGAUCUCGGCUCACUGCAACC